This 1641-nucleotide long non-coding RNA is filed under the name Ursus maritimus (polar bear). RNAcentral describes it as "lncRNA (ENSUMAG00000012645.1)". The record is from RNAcentral. Lineage: Eukaryota; Metazoa; Chordata; Mammalia; Carnivora; Ursidae.
GGGAGUCCACAUGCUUCAUUUUCUCCAGUGUUGAUCAGCUUAAUGCAUAAAAUGCCUCCAUUUCAGGAAAACCUUGUAAGCUGAAUCCCUCCAGUUCCUGCCAGCCUCAGCCUGGUCAAGCUAGAAACCAUCUGGGCCUUCGCGCAAUUUAAAAUGGGAACGUGGAGGAUGGAAUUUUACCAAGUCUAAUGCGUGCGUGUUUGUGAAUUCUUUGUCUCUCUCUCUCUCUCUCUUUUUUUUUUUUUUUUUUUGACCUCAAACUGUAAUCUCAAAUGAAGAAUAAAAGUCCUCAGGACUUCAAAGGAAAAUUGCUUUUUAAUUUCUUAGUGGAAUGGCAGUUAAGAGCAAAGCUCUCACAGCUGUACCGGAUAUAGAUUUGGAAAGUCGUUUCUCCUCAUGAUAUCAGGCCUCUUCCGUCGAAACAAUUAGAACCAGCCGAGGUUAGGAUAUCCCCUCUCCAGGGCAGCCAGACCGGGCAUGACUGUCUGAUUUGGAUUUCUGGGACUUGUUUUUCCUUUCAGUAAGGCAGGCUCUACCUCCCCCAAUCUGCUAAAUAAAAUACUAUUUGGGUCACGGGGUUUUAAAAUUAUUAUUAUUUUUAGAGGGAACUGUGUUUCUUGUUGGAGAAACAGAGAUUUUUGGAUUCAUGUGCCUGAACAACCCCGGGUCCUGUGCGUACCUGCCACUAAAGCCCGCUGUGCGCGUGCACCUGUCAGUCGGGAGCAGAAAGCACCACGCAUGCGUGCUGCGUCUGUCCACCGAGCCCCAUGGGAGGUACGCGCGCAACUGGAAGUGACCGUAAUGAAAGGAGACAGCAUCUUCCCAGUGGUGAUGGCUUCCGGGCUCCUGUACGACCCGCGGUUGGUUGCCCCCACGCCUCUUCAACUUCCCUGUUGGGAGUGCCAUUGCGCCAGCUGGGUUUUGCCCGGAUCGUCCCUGAAGCAGCUGGGACAGAACCGCAGCGACACAGAAUUGGGAGUCAUGAACACCUUUGCUACCUGCAGACGGUGGCGUACAGUGGGACUUUCGCUGAGGAGUGAAGCACGGAAGUCUGUGCCCGGAGGAAGCCACCGAAGCUGAGAAGUCAGCCCCACGUGUGGUUGCGCUGGAAAUCACAGUGCACAUCUCCUUCACUUAACAACAUUCAAGAAUAAGUUAUAUGCAGUAAGACAGUUACAUGUCUCGUGGACAGUUGGGAUCAUUUUGACAAACGUACCUGACCACGUACCCACCACCACAAUGAAGACACAGAGUGGCCCCAUCACCUGCCAAACUGGCCCCAUCCGUUCCCAGCGAGCAGUACCAGUGCCACUGGUCGGUCUUACUUUGGGCAUAUUGUAUGCGGCUGUCUAUUUGCAAACCACAUUUUCUUAGAAAGAGUUCUAUAAAAAAUGAGACUACAUUGUAAAAGUAUGUUGGAUAUUUCUCAUGAUGAAAGCUGGUACCUGCCUUAUAAGGCAAACUAUUCCAUUGGUGAAUAACUGGGAAAAACCUGCCCUGAGUGGUGUCAUAAUGUCCCUCUCUAUCACUCUUUUUUUAAUUGAGAUGUAAUUGGCAUAUGACCUUGUGUUCAUUUUAGACGUACCACAUAAUGACUUGAUGAUGUAUCUAUACGCUGUGACAUGAUCACCCCAAUAAAUU